RNAcentral lists this ribosomal RNA (497 nucleotides) under uncultured bacterium. RNAcentral describes it as "partial 16S ribosomal RNA". It matches the Rfam family "Bacterial small subunit ribosomal RNA", at positions 28 to 507 of the family's 1533-position model. The record is from RNAcentral.
GAUGAACGCUGGCGGCGUGCCUAAUACAUGCAAGUCGAGCGAACAGACGAGGAGCUUGCUCCUCUGACGUUAGCGGCGGACGGGGGAGUAACACGUGGAUAACCUACCUAUAAGACUGGGAUAACUUCGGGAAACCGGAGCUAAUACCGGAUAACAUGUUGAACCGCAUGGUUCAACAGUGAAAGACGGUCUUGCUGUCACUUAUAGAUGGAUCCGCGCCGCAUUAGCUAGUUGGUAAGGUAACGGCUUACCAAGGCAACGAUGCGUAGCCGACCUGGGAGGGUGAUCGGCCACACUGGAACUGAGACACGGUCCAGACUCCUACGGGAGGCAGCAGUAGGGAAUCUUCCGCAAUGGGCGAAAUCCUGACGGAGCAACGCCGCGUGAGUGAAGAAGGUCUUCGGAUCGUAAAACUCUGUUAUUAGGGAAGAACAAAUGUGUAAGUAACUAUGCACGUCUUGACGGUACCUAAUCAGAAAGCCACGGCUAACUACGUG